RNAcentral lists this non-coding RNA (75 nucleotides) under Ferrimonas marina. RNAcentral's name for it is "c-di-GMP sequence". It matches the Rfam family "c-di-GMP-I riboswitch aptamer". Rfam says of the family: GEMM was predicted in a large-scale screen for bacterial structured RNA regulatory elements. Lineage: Bacteria; Pseudomonadati; Pseudomonadota; Gammaproteobacteria; Alteromonadales; Ferrimonadaceae. The record is from Rfam by way of RNAcentral.
GGACUAACCCGCCAAACUGGUUGCGAGGCCAGGACGGAAAGCCACGGAUCUCACGAAGACCGCCGGGUUGCGUAC